This 300-nucleotide ribosomal RNA is filed under the name uncultured Pyrodictium sp. Its description in RNAcentral is "partial 16S ribosomal RNA". It matches the Rfam family "Bacterial small subunit ribosomal RNA", at positions 496 to 795 of the family's 1533-position model. Lineage: Archaea; Thermoproteati; Thermoproteota; Thermoprotei; Desulfurococcales; Pyrodictiaceae. The record is from RNAcentral.
GCGAACGUCGGGGCAGAGUGCGCGGGAAUAGGGAGGGGGUAUGAGUUGUGCGGGUUCACCGGGCUUAGAGGGUGUUGAGGGGGUUUGGUAAGCCUUCUGUUGAAGCGUCGGGCCGAACCCGGAAAGCGCAGAGGGUACUGCCAGGCUAGAGGGUGGGAGAGGAGCGCGGAAUUCCCGGUGUAGCGGGGAAAUGCGUAGAGAUCGGGAGGAAGGCCGGUGGCGAAGGCGGCGCUCUGGAACACACCUGACGCUGAGACACGAAAGCGUGGGGAGCAAACAGGAUUAGAUACCCCUGUAGUC